UGGGGAAUAUUGCACAAUGGGCGAAAGCCUGAUGCAGCAACGCCGCGUGAGUGAUGAAGGUCUUCGGAUUGUAAAGCUCUGUCUUUUGGGACGAUAAUGACGGUACCAAAGGAGGAAGCCACGGCUAACUACGUGCCAGCAGCCGCGGUAAUACGUAGGUGGCGAGCGUUGUCCGGAUUUACUGGGCGUAAAGGGUGCGUAGGCGGAUGUUUAAGUGAGAUGUGAAAUACCCGGGCUUAACUUGGGUGCUGCAUUUCAAACUGGAUAUCUAGAGUGCAGGAGAGGAGAAUGGAAUUCCUAGUGUAGCGGUGAAAUGCGUAGAGAUUAGGAAGAACACCAGUGGCGAAGGCGAUUCUCUGGACUGUAACUGACGCUGAGGCACGAAAGCGUGGGUAGCAAACAGGAUUAGAUACCCUGGUAGUCCACGCCGUAAAACGAUGAGUACUAGGUGUAGGAGGUAUCGACCCCUUCUGUGCCGCAGUAAAACA
RNAcentral lists this ribosomal RNA (488 nucleotides) under uncultured bacterium. RNAcentral describes it as "partial 16S ribosomal RNA". It matches the Rfam family "Bacterial small subunit ribosomal RNA", at positions 355 to 859 of the family's 1533-position model. The record is from RNAcentral.